Molecule: long non-coding RNA, 1506 nt
Organism: Oncorhynchus tshawytscha (Chinook salmon)
Lineage: Eukaryota; Metazoa; Chordata; Actinopteri; Salmoniformes; Salmonidae
Source: Ensembl
UCUAGGAAGAGUCUUGGUGGUUCCAAACUUCUUCCAUUUAAGAAUGAUGAAGGCUACUGGUACCCUUCCCCAGAUCUGUACCUCGACACAAUCCUGUCUGAGCUCUACGGACAAUUCCUUAGACCUCACGGCUUGGUUUUUGCUCUGACAUGCACUGUCAACCUUGUGACUUUAUAUAGACAGGUGUGUGCCUUUCCAAAUCAUGUCCAAUCAAUUGAAUUUACCACAGGUGGACUCCAAUCAAGUUGUAGAAACAUCUCAAGGAUGAUCAAGGGAAACAAGAUGCACCUGAGCACAAUUUUGAGUCUCAUAGCGAAGGAUUCACAUUCCAAAUGGAGACAGAAGGGUCAGUAAAUGAAGCCAUCAAACUGAAAGUCAUCCUCAACGACAACAGAAUAGAGAAAGUGAUUCUGCCCUCUCAACCUGAUUCACUGAAUGAGCUGAUAUCAACGCUCAAGGAGAAACUGCAUCUGAAGUUUGAUUUCAGUCUUCUUUAUGAAGACCCUGAUUUCAGUGCUCUCUUUAGUUCACUUCACAGGGAGAAAAUAACAUCACCGUUCUGCAGUCCUGGCUGGUCUCCCUUUGUUGUUACGAGAGGAUGGUUCUGAUGUCUUCAAAAUGGCUCACCUGGUUUUACAGCCUGUAUCAUUAUCAACACAUUCUUUUGUAUUGUGUUUUUUAAACUUAUUUUUUUUCCUUUGUCAUUAAAGUGGGAGAACUCAGCAACCCUGGUAUUCUGGAUGGAGUUUCCAUUCUCUCAGUGGUGGGCCAGCACAAUGAGGUGGUGGGUGGUAUACCCAUCAGACCGGCCCAUAUGUAUCCAUUGUCGUUGAGGAUAAGAUCGUCAUGACUAACUCCCGUUCCUGGCCAGACGCUCUCGUGGUUGUUUUUGGGUUACUCUACUCCCUCCAUCUGAACUUCCCCAAAGCCCUGGGCAGCACCUCUGAGUUCAUGCAGAAAGUCUUCCUGAACCUCGACGAUGGAAAACUGAAGCCCAAGCGGCUAGUGCUGAAAUAUGAACUGUUGGCAUAAUUCUGUAGUGAUGAGAUGGAAUUUUACUUUGAGUGACCUCCUAUAUGCUGAGUGAGUGGUUUGAAAACAAUACUUAUUUUUGUUUGGUUUUUGUGUGUGUUUUUGUGCAGGUAAUGGAUUUGAUAUUGUAUUUCAAUGAACUUAUAACCCUUUUAUGUGAAAAGAAGACACAGGUCAGUCAACACAUUAACUUGCCACAUACAGUCGAUCUGCGACCCAGUUCUCUACCUUCGUUAUACAGCUGCAGAAAACCCCCAAAUGUUUUCUAGAAGAUUUCACCUUUGCAGACAAUCCAACUGGCACAAAAUACAUGUUGAUAAAAUGUUUAUUAAAGUGUCUUUACCUGCUAUUGUCUAUCUUCUCUGGCAGUGUUGUGUGAUCCUGGCCUUCUAUCUGAAUUCUAAAUGCUCACCAAGACACAGGACUAUGUCUUAACUGUUGUAACACACUGAAUAUACGCUGAGUGUACAUUAU